RNAcentral lists this ribosomal RNA (98 nucleotides) under Vibrio cholerae. Lineage: Bacteria; Pseudomonadati; Pseudomonadota; Gammaproteobacteria; Vibrionales; Vibrionaceae. RNAcentral also lists the same sequence under 1 other name. The record is from RNAcentral.
UUGGACCCACCUGAUUCCAUCCCGAACUCAGAAGUGAAACGAAACAGCGUCGAUGGUAGUGUGGGGUCUCCCCAUGUGAGAGUAGAACAUCGCCAGGC